This 346-nucleotide long non-coding RNA is filed under the name Carica papaya (papaya). Its description in RNAcentral is "long non-coding RNA (CPAP_LNC005236)". Lineage: Eukaryota; Viridiplantae; Streptophyta; Magnoliopsida; Brassicales; Caricaceae. The record is from RNAcentral.
GUAGUCUCUUUAAGUUUCUUGGGCAUAAACAUCUGAAUGUCUUCUGCGAUCUUGGGCUUGAGCUCACCAAUGAACGUGCCAACUAGAGCUUUUUGGGUCCAACUCAGUACUCGAUUAUCCAAUUUCUUAAAUUUCUUAUGAUACUCAUGUAAUGGGCCAGAUUGCUUCACAUAUGAUAGGGCCUCAUCGAAGCCCUCACAAUCUGUCGACCCAAAUUAAGCCAAAAGCUCUUCUUGAAAAAUGGCCCAAGUGAUCUCUCUUUUUUGUAGGUAUGGUGAAGCCUUUGCCACCACUAGUUGGCUUCACCUAUUAGAUAAAAAGAGGUCAAGGAGACCUUCUUGUUGUC